CCUCAUGGUAUCAUUAAUUGGCAUCGAUUGAUGAUUAAAGGUUACGGUAAGAGAUGGCUAUGCGUCCUAUUAGCUAGUAGGUAUGGUAACGGCAUACCUAGGCGACGAUAGGUAGGGGCCCUGAGAGGGGGAUCCCCCACACUGGUACUGAGACACGGACCAGACUCCUACGGGAGGCAGCAGUGAGGAAUAUUGGUCAAUGGACGGAAGUCUGAACCAGCCAUGCCGCGUGCAGGAAGACUGCCCUAUGGGUUGUAAACUGCUUUUAUAUAGGAAGAAACCCAGAUACGUGUAUUUGGCUGACGGUACUAUAAGAAUAAGCAUCGGCUAACUCCGUGCCAGCAGCCGCGGUAAUACGGAGGAUGCAAGCGUUAUCCGGAAUCAUUGGGUUUAAAGGGUCCGUAGGUGGAUUAAUAAGUCAGAGGUGAAAUCCUGCAGCUCAACUGUAGAACUGCCUUUGAUACUGUUAAUCUUGAGUCAUUAUGAAGUGGUUAGAAUGAGUAGUGUAGCGGUGAAAUGCAUAGAUAUUACUCAGAAUACCGAUUGCGAAGGCAGAUCACUAAUAAUGUACUGACACUGAGGGACGAAAGCGUGGGGAGCGAACAGGAUUAGAUACCCUGGUAGUCCACGCUGUAAACGAUGGUCACUAGCUGUUGGGUUUUCGGACUCAGUGGCUAAGCGAAAGUGAUAAGUGACCCACCUGGGGAGUACGUUC
This 715-nucleotide ribosomal RNA is filed under the name uncultured microorganism. RNAcentral describes it as "SSU rRNA". It matches the Rfam family "Bacterial small subunit ribosomal RNA", at positions 169 to 887 of the family's 1533-position model. The record is from RNAcentral.